GGUGGACGCUGGCGGCGUGCCUAAGACAUGCAAGUCGAGCGGGGCAGGUUUAUACCUGUUCAGCGGCGGACGGGUGAGUAACGCGUGGGUGACCUACCCGGAAGAGGCGGACAACCUGGGGAAACCCAGGCUAAUCCGCCAUGUGGUCCUGUCCUGUGGGGCAGGACUAAAGGGGCGACCCGCUUCCGGAUGGGCCCGCGUCCCAUCAGCUAGUUGGUGGGGUAAAGGCCCACCAAGGCGACGACGGGUAGCCGGUCUGAGAGGAUGGCCGGCCACAGGGGCACUGAGACACGGGCCCCACUCCUACGGGAGGUAGCAGUUAGGAAUCUUCCGCAAUGGACGGAAGUCUGACGGAGCGACGCCGCUUGGAGGAGGAAGCCCUUCGGGGUGUAAACUCCUGAACUGGGGACGAAAGCCCCGUGUAGGGGGAUGACGGUACCCAGGUAAUAGCGCCGGCCAACUCCGUG
This 467-nucleotide ribosomal RNA is filed under the name uncultured bacterium. RNAcentral describes it as "partial 16S ribosomal RNA". It matches the Rfam family "Bacterial small subunit ribosomal RNA", at positions 28 to 507 of the family's 1533-position model. The record is from RNAcentral.